GAUGAACGCUGGCGGCGUGCCUAAUACAUGCAAGUCGAGCGAACGGACGAGAAGCUUGCUUCUCUGAUGUUAGCGGCGGACGGGGGAGUAACACGUGGAUAACCUACCUAUGAGACUGGGAUAACUUCGGGAAACCGGAGCUAAUACCGGAUAAUAUUUUGAACCGCAUGGUUCAAAAGUGAAAGACGGUCUUGCUGUCACUUAUAUAUGGAUCCGCGCUGCAUUAGCUAGUUGGUAAGGUAACGGCUUACCAAGGCAACGAUGCAUAGCCGACCUGAGAGGGUGAUCGGCCACACUGGAACUGAGACACGGUCCAGACUCCUACGGGAGGCAGCAGUAGGGAAUCUUCCGCAAUGGGCGAAAGCCUGACGGAGCAACGCCGCGUGAGUGAUGAAGGUCUUCGGAUCGUAAAACUCUGUUAUUAGGGAAGAACAUAUGUGUAAGUAACUGUGCACAUCUUGACGGUACCUAAUCAGAAAGCCACGGCUAACUACGUG
RNAcentral lists this ribosomal RNA (497 nucleotides) under uncultured bacterium. Its description in RNAcentral is "partial 16S ribosomal RNA". It matches the Rfam family "Bacterial small subunit ribosomal RNA", at positions 28 to 507 of the family's 1533-position model. The record is from RNAcentral.